GAUGAAUGCUGGCGGCGCGCCUAACACAUGCAAGUCGAGCGGUAACAGGUCUAGUUUACUAGAUGCUGACGAGCGGCGGACGGCUGAGUAACGCGUGGGAACAUGCCCCAAAGUGAGGAAUAACUGCCCGAAAGGGUAGCUAAUGCCGCAUAUGAUCUUCGGAUUAAAGGAUUUAUCCGCUUUGGGAGUGGCCCGCGUACGAUUAGGUAGUUGGUGAGGUAAUGGCUCACCAAGCCCACGAUCGUUAACUGGUCUGAGAGGAUGAUCAGUCAGACUGGAACUGAGACACGGUCCAGACUCCUACGGGAGGCAGCAGUGAGGAAUCUUCCACAAUGGGCGAAAGCCUGAUGGAGCGACGCCGCGUGCAGGAUGAAGGCCCUCGGGUUGUAAACUGCUUUUAUAAGUGAAGAAUAUGACGGUAACUUAUGAAUAAGCACCGGCUAACUACGUG
RNAcentral lists this ribosomal RNA (451 nucleotides) under uncultured bacterium. Its description in RNAcentral is "bacterial SSU rRNA". It matches the Rfam family "Bacterial small subunit ribosomal RNA", at positions 28 to 507 of the family's 1533-position model. The record is from RNAcentral.